UACGUAGGGUGCGAGCGUUAAUCGGAAUUACUGGGCGUAAAGCGUGCGCAGGCGGUUAUUUAAGUCAGGUGUGAAAGCCCUGGGCUUAACCUAGGAAUUGCGCUUGAGACUGGAUAGCUUGGAGUGCGGCAGAGGGAGGUGGAAUUCCACGUGUAGCAGUGAAAUGCGUAGAGAUGUGGAGGAACACCGAUGGCGAAGGCAGCCUCCUGGGCCAGCACUGACGCUCAUGCACGAAAGCGUGGGGAGCAAACA
RNAcentral lists this ribosomal RNA (252 nucleotides) under uncultured bacterium. RNAcentral describes it as "partial 16S ribosomal RNA". It matches the Rfam family "Bacterial small subunit ribosomal RNA", at positions 524 to 774 of the family's 1533-position model. The record is from RNAcentral.